CUAAGCCAUGCAAGUCCUGGGGUCGCAAGACACCGGCAAACUGCCUCAGUAACACGGUUGAUAAUCUGCCCUUAAGUCCUGGGAUWCCCUUGGGAAMCUGAGGUUAAGACCGGAUAGGARGCCAGUUCUGGAAGGAAAUGUCUUCUAAAGGCAACGCYUAAGGAUGAGUCAGCGGCCGAWUARGUUGUUGGUGGGGUAAAGUUUCUCGACGCAAUCGUCGGGGAUUACAUGCCCACMAAGCCCGCGAUCGGUAGGGGCCUUGAAAGAGGUUGCCCCGAGAAAGGGAACUGAGAUACAGUCCCUAGCCCCACGGGGUGCAGCAGGCGCGAGAACUCUACAAUGCACGAAAGUGUGAUAGGGGAACCCUGAGUGCUCAGUUCUACUGGGCUUUUGCCAAGAGUAAAAACCUUGGCGAAUAAGUGGUGGGUAAGACGGGUGCCAGCCGCCGCGGUAACACCCGCGCCACAAGUGGCAAUCGCUGUUAUUUGGCCUAAAGCGUCCGUAGCAUGCUUUGUAAAUCUCUUGUGAAAUUGUUGCGCUCAACGUAACAGCGCGCAAGAGACACUGCAGGGCUUGGGACCGGGAGGAGUCAGAGGUAUUUCGUGGGGAGCGGUAAAAUGCUAUAAUCCACGAAGGACCACCUAUGGCGAAGGCAUCUGACCAGAACGGAUCCGACUGUGAGGGACGAAAGCUAGGGGAGCGAACCGGAUUAGAUAUCGGGGUUUCCGUCGAGAAAUCAUUCAUCUGUUCGUUACAAAAUUACUGGAUGAGUGAGGAAAUAUCGGAGACAUUAACCCGACUAAUUACCCGAGUAGUCCUAGCCGUAAACGCUGCGAGCUAGGUGUUGCGCAAUCUUCGAGAUUGCGCAGUAUCGAAGCGAAGGCGAUAAGCUCGCCGCCUGGGAAGUACGGUCGCAAGGCUGAAACUUAAAGGRAUUGGCGGGGGAGCMCUACCAGGGGUGCGGGCGUGCGGUUUAAUCUAACUCCUACCUCAGAGRAUCCUCACCAGAAGCCGACGGCAGGAUGAAAGUCAGAUUAAAGGUUUUACUUGACGAGCCGGGAGGUGGUGCAUGGCCA
This 1076-nucleotide ribosomal RNA is filed under the name uncultured archaeon. RNAcentral describes it as "bacterial SSU rRNA". It matches the Rfam family "Archaeal small subunit ribosomal RNA", at positions 44 to 1000 of the family's 1478-position model. The record is from RNAcentral.